ACAGACAUGAUGUGUGUGUGUGUGUGUGUUUGCAGUAAUGUGGAGCUCGGCUCGGAGCUGACUGGAUCUUCCUCACCAGUGGCUGUGAAUCGCUUCACUGAGGAUCGAGUGUCAGUCAGGAGAUCAGGAAAGAGUCCCCUGCGGCUCCGUGCGAACAGCCACUCUGUGGAGCGAGCGCUGGCCUACCACGGCAGCUGUGGCUCGCUGCCCAGAGAGGCCCGGGUCCAGGCCGUCCCCCGGGCCAAGGGCAGCCCCAUGCACACCUACAAGAGCGUGGAGAUCACCAACGUCUGAGGCGUCCAGCGCUCCGCUUCCGUCCACAUCCUUACUGUUAUUACUGUGCCGAGGCGGAGCUGCAGUUCACUGUGACUUUACAGGAACAAAAAAAGUUCAGUUUACCGAGAUGGAGCGAUUGUAAAUACAACCCAAAUCCCCAAAAAUGUUGGGACAGUGUGUUAAAUGUAUAUAAAAACAUCUUUAACGUGUAAAAUCGGUCUAUAUUUCAACAUAAACAACAUGUAAAAUGUUGAACCUGAGACAUUUUACAGUUUAAUGAAAAAACAAAUUAGCUUAUUUAAUAUAAAACGAAACAUCUCAGAAAAGUUGGGACAGGGCCUUGUGUAGCAGUGUUCCUCUGCUUAACAUCACACUGUGAGUAUUUGAAGGCUUGGUGAAUUCCCACAGUGCAAUUCAUCAUGUUACAUGAAAGGUAAACUUUACAUAUUGUCAAGAUCACAUAUGACCCACCUGCAGAGGUUUCAUCUUUUUUUUUUUUUCCAAAACUAUUUAUUGAAAUGCCUGUAUUAUACAUACACAUGGAAUUAAAACAAAUCCUUACAAUGCAAAAUCAGUCUUCUCCGGAUAUCUGGAUGAAUUUUAGCUAGUUUGGCUUUUGAAAGUGAAUGCAAUGCAGAACCUUUCAUUGUAUGAGCUCAUGUCUGGUGCAGGGAGAUGAGACAUGAUUGAGAAUAUCCUCCCUAGUUGUGUCUGUAAGAGAGGUGCCAAGGUCCUCUUUCCAUUGUGACCCAAGGACAUCCAUUUUCUGGGGGUUUAUCUCAACAAUAACUUAAUAAAUCCGUGAAACUAUUCCCUUUGUAUCAGCAUCAAGAGACAACAACGUGUCAACUGGACCAGCUGUCGGCAUAUUGGGAAAAGAGUGAUAUUGUUCUCUAACAAAAUUCCUCAGCUGCAACUAUUGAAAGAAGUCAGGAUGGAGUAGCUUGUAUUCAGAAACCAGCUGUUCAUCAAAGGAUGCAAAUAUCCAAUCGACAAACAGAUUUCCAUACCAGGCACGGAAGGCCUUGUCAGUCAUAGCUGGUGUAAAGAGAGGAUCAGGCGCCAUUACUGAGGGGCUUUUUAGACCAAAAUGCUUCCUGAAUUGUAACCACAUUUUGAAGUGUAUUGGAAGAUACUGGAUUUGUUGAACUGCUAACAGAGUCUUGAAUAGCAGAGGAAACUAGAGUGAGUAUUAAAGUUAUAGGACUCCAUUGUGACCCAAUCUGGCGCCUCACCUUCAGCGCAACCCUGGACCCAAAACAAGACUUUCUGAAUAUUACCUCCCCAGCAGUAAUGCAUAAGAUUAGGCAGUCCUCCCUCUCCCUUUUUCCUCUCCAGAAAGAGGUUUCAUCUUUCGAACAUGAGUCUCAGUCUCACCACACAUUUCACUCCAUUUUAAGCACAGAUCGUGUCUCAUAAAUCUAAUAUUUUAUCUUUUAGCAGCUAAUUUCAAAUUUUACAGCAGUGAAACAUCCAAAUGCGGUCGGUACAGGGCCUUGUUUACUAUCUGACUGUUAAACAUGUGAGGAGUGAAGAGGAACCAGCUGCUGGAGUUUAGGGAGAGGAUGGUUCCUGAUGCUCCAAAUGUUUUCUAUCUCUCUUCAUUACUUUUGAAAACACAAUGUUAUAGAGAUUCAAAGAGAAUUUUAUAUCCCUCUAAUUCUGCCUCAGGUGACUUCAGAUGAGCUCUGGAACAGUGUGAGGGAAGGUUCUUGUCUGUAUAUAUUUAGUUUUGUAUUAUGACCAAAUAUCCUGAUUCAUUCUCAGUUUUCAGAGACAAAUGUAGAGAAAUACACUUAAAUGUAUGAUGUAUAGUUAGAUGUUAUUUAAAGAAAACAAGAAAAGUAUAAGUCAAUAUUUUAGUAACUCAGAUAAGACCUAAUGGCAGUUUGUUCAUCAAAAACAUGUUUGGAGAAUAACAUUUACAUUAUUUUCCUUCAUUGAGGAUAAAGAUUGUACUAGUGUGUAUUUUUACUCAUCUUAUUAUAAUAAUGUCAUGUUACUUGCUUUCUAUAUCAUUGAUUGAUACAUUGGGCCUGAAGGCCUGAAAAUCAUUAUCAUCCAGUUUUAACCUUCAGCUUCAUCCUUCUCACACACACACACACACACACACACACACACACACACACACACACACACACACACUCCUGGUUUUAUCUGUCUUCAUUCUAAAGACAUUCUAAAUGGUGCCAUCUCUCUUUUUAAUGUAGUCUUCCUGUCUGAAAAGCUCCUUUUAUGCAGUCAUGUCACUGAAAUUAGCUGUUAAAGCUGUUUUUCAUACUUUUCCAGGUUUGUUUUGCCUCGUCUCAACUUCUCUGAGAUGUUUUGCUGCCAUCAGAUUCAAAAUGAGCAAAUAUCUUCUGUGAAAUACUGAAAUAUCUCAGUUUCAACAUCCUGAUGAGUUGCGCUGGCAAUUAAAUAUAUGUAUAUGGAAUAUGUCAGUCCUUUAUUUCUCUUUUUAUUUACUUUUAACACAGUGUUCCCACUUUUUUGGAUUUGGGGUUGAACAGUUAUUCAAACUGUUUUGUUUGUUUUCUAACUGAAUCUUCUGUUGCCAUCUAAACACUGGAGCGAAGGUUUAAGCCCUCCUGGGUCCGGACGUCUUCUGAUGCCUUAAAUGAAAACUGGGGUGAAUAUUUUCCGCUCAAUUCAUGUUUCUCUUGUUGCACAUUUUCAUCCAGAUGCACAGUGGAUCAAAAGUCUUGCUCAAAGACACUUUGGCUCGCAGACAGCCAGAGAUCUAAAGACCACGGUGAGGAGUAGGAGGCUUGAAUCUACGGUCACUGAAUUAUCUCCUCAAGAUUGUGAUCAGUUCACCGUUUGUUAGAGAUCAGGAUCAGAUGGAAAUGGUGUGUGUGUGUGUGUGUGUGUGUGUGUGUGUGUGUGUGUGUGUGUGUGUGUGUGUGUGUGUGUGUGUGUGUGUGUGUAUGUGUGUGUGUGUGUGUGUGUGUGUGUGUGUGUGUCAGUGCAGGGUGGGCUUUGUCUGAGGGUCAGCAGGAUGCUUUUUAUUUCCUUUUCAUUUUUUGAAAAGAACCGGUGUUUUAAAGAAGCAAGCUGAGGGUGAAACCAUUAUUUAUUUUAUGUACAAAAAAUGCACAACAAGACCAAUUUUUUACUUCUUAACUUCAAAAUGCUAAAAUUAGCUUAAUUGCAAAUUUAUAAAUAUAGAAAUGCAACAAUGGUGAAAGACUUAAAUUAAACUGAAAGCAUCUUACUAGUGUGUUUUUUAUUGCUUUUGGAUCCCGACAGGAAAAAUAUGUUUUGAUGUGAAACUUAUCAGGAAUUCCAAAGGUCACUGACCUUCAAUUCAAUUCAAUUCAAUUCAAUUCAAUUCAAUUCAAUUCAAUUCAAUUCAGUUCAAUUCAAUUCAAUUCAAUUCAAUUCAGCUUUAUUUAUGAAGUGCCAAUUACAACAUGGUCGUUUCUAGACACUUUUACAGAGAAAACCCAACAGAUCCACAUGAGCAGCAUAAGCGGCUGUGGAAAGGAAAAACUCCCUUUUAACAGGAAGAAACCUUUGCAGAACCAGGCUCAGAGGUGGCGGCUUUCUGCUGUUCCAGUUGGGGUGAGGGGACAGAAAGAGAAGGAGAUAGGACAG
Long non-coding RNA from Salarias fasciatus (jewelled blenny), 3873 nucleotides. The record is from Ensembl. NCBI's taxonomy places the organism in Eukaryota, Metazoa, Chordata, Actinopteri, Blenniiformes, Blenniidae.